AUUGAACGCUGGCGGCAGGCCUAACACAUGCAAGUCGAGCGAGCGGCGGACGGGUGAGUAAUGUAUGGGGACUGCCCGAUAGAGGGGGAUAACUACUGGAAACGGUAGCUAAUACCGCAUACUAUCGGAUAACCCAUAUGGGAUUAGCUAGUAGGUGAGGUAAUGGCUCACCUAGGCGACGAUCCCUAGCUGGUCUGAGAGGAUGAUCAGCCACAAUGGGACGGAGAAACGGCCCAGAUGCCUCCGGAGGCAGCAGGGGGGAAUAUUGCACAAUGGGGGGAAGCCUGAUGCAGCCAGGCCGGGGGUAUGAAGAAGGCCCUAGGGUUGGAAAGUACUUUCAGUCGGGAGGCGUUACCGACAGAAGAAGCACCGGCUAACUCCGUGCCAGCAGCCGCGGUAAUAC
This 403-nucleotide ribosomal RNA is filed under the name uncultured bacterium. Its description in RNAcentral is "partial 16S ribosomal RNA". It matches the Rfam family "Bacterial small subunit ribosomal RNA", at positions 29 to 526 of the family's 1533-position model. The record is from RNAcentral.